This 494-nucleotide ribosomal RNA is filed under the name Atrina chinensis. Its description in RNAcentral is "partial 16S ribosomal RNA". It matches the Rfam family "Bacterial large subunit ribosomal RNA", at positions 1854 to 2619 of the family's 2925-position model. The record is from RNAcentral. Lineage: Eukaryota; Metazoa; Mollusca; Bivalvia; Pterioida; Pinnidae.
GUGCCUGCUCAGUGCCCUUUUGUGGUAAACAGCCGCUGUAUUUUGACGGUGCUAAGGUAGCGAAAUUCCUAGCCUUUUAAUUGGAGGCCUGCAUGAAUGGCUUGACGAGCGCCUGACUGUCUCUCUCCCGCAUGUAGUGAAAUUAACUUUUGUGUGCAAAGGCACAAAUAAUUGAGUAAGACGAAAAGACCCUGUGCAACUUUACUAAGAAAAGAGGGGUUACCUACUUGUAGUUUAGCUGGGGCAGCUUAGGAAAAGAUAAAACUUCCUUGAAUUUAAGAUACUGGUAGGUUUGGAUCCGACGUAAUUAUUGUGUAGGUCGAGUAGCAGAAAAGUUACGCCAGGGAUAACAGCGUUAUCCUUCUGUGGAGGUCUUAUCUGCAGGGGGGAUUGCGACCUCGAUGUUGAAUUAAGGAUAUAGCGGAAAGGCGCAGCGGCUUUUUUUGUAGGUCUGUUCGACCUUUAAAACCCUACGUGAUCUGAGUUCAGACCGG